ACUGAACGCUGGCGGCAUGCCUUACACAUGCAAGUCGAACGGCAGCACGGGAGCAAUCCUGGUGGCAAGUGGCGAACGGGUGAGUAAUGUAUCGGAACGUGCCCAGUCGUGGGGGAUAACGUAGCGAAAGCUACGCUAAUACCGCAUACGAUCUGUGGAUGAAAGCGGGGGACCGUAAGGCCUCGCGCGAUUGGAGCGGCCGAUAUCAGAUUAGGUAGUUGGUGGGGUAAAGGCCUACCAAGCCGACGAUCUGUAGCUGGUCUGAGAGGACGACCAGCCACACUGGGACUGAGACACGGCCCAGACUCCUACGGGAGGCAGCAGUGGGGAAUUUUGGACAAUGGGCGCAAGCCUGAUCCAGCAAUGCCGCGUGCAGGAUGAAGGCCUUCGGGUUGUAAACUGCUUUUGUACGGAGCGAAAAGGCUCUCUCUAAUACAGGGGGCUCAUGACGGUACCGUAAGAAUAAGCACCGGCUAACUACGUGCCAGCCGCCGCGGUAA
RNAcentral lists this ribosomal RNA (500 nucleotides) under uncultured bacterium. RNAcentral's name for it is "partial 16S ribosomal RNA". It matches the Rfam family "Bacterial small subunit ribosomal RNA", at positions 30 to 523 of the family's 1533-position model. The record is from RNAcentral.